CCUACGGGUGGCAGCAGUGAGGAAUAUUGGUCAAUGGACGAGAGUCUGAACCAGCCAAGUAGCGUGAAGGAUGACUGCCCUAUGGGUUGUAAACUUCUUUUAUAUGGGAAUAAAAUGUUCCACGUGUGGGAUUUUGUAUGUACCAUAUGAAUAAGGAUCGGCUAACUCCGUGCCAGCAGCCGCGGUAAUACGGAGGAUCCGAGCGUUAUCCGGAUUUAUUGGGUUUAAAGGGAGCGUAGGCGGGUUGUUAAGUCAGUUGUGAAAGUUUGCGGCUCAACCGUAAAAUUGCAGUUGAUACUGGCAUCCUUGAGUACAGUAGAGGUAGGCGGAAUUCGUGGUGUAGCGGUGAAAUGCUUAGAUAUCACGAAGAACUCCGAUUGCGAAGGCAGCCUGCUGGACUGUAACUGACGCUGAUGCUCGAAAGUGUGGGUAUCAAACAGGAUUAGAUACCCUUGUAGUC
RNAcentral lists this ribosomal RNA (460 nucleotides) under uncultured bacterium. RNAcentral's name for it is "partial 16S ribosomal RNA". It matches the Rfam family "Bacterial small subunit ribosomal RNA", at positions 338 to 795 of the family's 1533-position model. The record is from RNAcentral.